Molecule: RNA transcript, 1313 nt
Organism: Hippopotamus amphibius kiboko
Lineage: Eukaryota; Metazoa; Chordata; Mammalia; Artiodactyla; Hippopotamidae
Gene: TMEM141
Gene name: transmembrane protein 141
Exons: 3
Source: RefSeq, a predicted model, not a curated record
CUCCGCCCGGUCCCACGCAGGUCCGCUCGCCGGCUGCCUGCGCCCCGCCAGCCAUGGUGAACCUAGGCCUGUCCCGAGUGGACGACGCCGUGGCCAACAAGCACCCGGGCCCGAGUGUGCCCAAAGGAGGGACAGGAUGGACGGGGAACUGAGCCUUCAACCCCCUCCCCAUCCCAGGGACUGGGGGAGUAUGCCGCGUGCCAGUCGAACGCCUUCAUGAAGGGCAUUUUCACCUUUGUCACAGGUAGGCUGGGUCCAGGUGUGUCUGCCUGGUGUGUGACGAGACCUCACCCUCCUGUCUCACCCUGACUCCCCAGCAGGUGGCGCCGGGUCGCCUGCCCGCGGUGCUGGGAGCCCGGCAGGUGUGGCGGGCACUCAGGCUGUGCCCCGGCGGUCCCCUGGCCAGCCCCGUGGACGAGCUGGCUGAUGGGGACCAUGGCUCUUGGCAGGCACAGGUGCGACCGUCGGCCUGCAGAUGCUCGUUCGGAAGAAGUUUCCGUACCCCUUUCAGUGGAACGUGCUGGUGGCCGUGGGUGGGUACUCCAGGGCUGGUGCCUGGGGCCCCUUAAAUGCACCCCAGUUGUCGCUGGCUCUUCAGCAGAAGUGGGUUCCCACUAGGGGUGGGGGGGCUGUGGUUCCGGGCAUCCCUGCCUCCUGGGGUGGCGCUCUGUUCUCAGUGGGAGCCCUGCCGGGCCCCACCACUGCCAUCUGCCCAGAAGAAGCCUGUGCCCUGACCUCCCUUCCCUAAGAAGUGCAGAUGCGCAGGUCCCCCAGCCCACUGGCCCCUGCCCUCCACUCCCCAGUCGCAGGCUCAGUGGCCAGCUACUGGGUGACCCGAGUGGAGUCGCAGAAAUGCAGCAACCUUUGGCUCUUCCUGGAGACGGGGCAGCUCCCCAAAGACAUGGAGACAGGUCGGCGCCACUAGGAGGGAUCCCGCAGGGCACAGAAGACCUGGGGUCAGAGAGUUCUAGAACACAGCCCUCGGCACCUCCACACCCCAGGCUGGCCUCCCCACACCCAUGUCCCCUGCACGCGUGUGUGGCCAGCUCUGUCAAACCUGUGGAAACUGCUCCCGCCCAGCCUGGCUGCCCAGGAGGUCAGGCCAGGAGGUGCUGUCCCUGCGGUGGCUGGCCUCCUGCAGGGCAGCGAGAGACGUGGUGGACCCAGAGCUAGAGGAGACCAGGCCUGUCUCGUGCGUAUUUGGGGGCAGCAGCUCUGCGGUGUGUGUGGGGUACUUCUGCACUCUCUGCUGCUGACACUCCCUUUCUGGCCCCUGCAUUCCCCCCACCCACCUGAGUGGACUAAUAAACACC